GAGGUCAUCGAAGCUUGGUACAUGGAUGACAGUGAAGAGGACCAGAGGCUUCCUCAUCAUCGUGAGCCCAAAGAAUUCAUUCCUCUUAGCAAACUUUCAGGUUUGUGCAUCUAUUGCUCAAACAAUAUGUUUAGCUUUUGUAACUAACUCUUAGUAGAACUAGUGCCAAAUUGCCAAAAAACUUGCCAGAUGUUAAUGUGGUGCACAAUUGAUACACCAGAGUUAGGAAUAUUAAGCUGGCGCCUGAAUGCUGAUGACUGGGAGAAUGAUGAGAACCUCAAGAAAAUCCGUGAGGCCAGGGGAUACUCUUACAUGGUUUGCAUUUCAGAACUUGUUGUGAGUUUCCAUUUUUUUUGUUCGCAAGGUUAAUAUGCUUUUCCUUGUGCAGGAUAUUUGUGAUGUGUGUCCAGAAAAGCUGCCAAACUAUGAGGCUAAGCUGAAAAAUUUCUUUGAAGAACACUUGCAUACUGAUGAAGAGAUACGCUAUUGUCUUGAGGGAAGUGGUAUGCAUCUUUAUUAUACUAGUUGAGCACUUGAUAACUAGUAAUAACUUGCUUCCAGCAAUAAUCAUGGUGGC
This 577-nucleotide long non-coding RNA is filed under the name Oryza sativa (Asian cultivated rice). Its description in RNAcentral is "long non-coding RNA (OSAT_LNC000497)". The record is from RNAcentral. Lineage: Eukaryota; Viridiplantae; Streptophyta; Magnoliopsida; Poales; Poaceae.